This 207-nucleotide long non-coding RNA is filed under the name Homo sapiens (human). RNAcentral describes it as "non-protein coding lnc-RAPGEF5-2:1". Lineage: Eukaryota; Metazoa; Chordata; Mammalia; Primates; Hominidae. The record is from RNAcentral.
AAAACAGACUAAUACACCCACCUUGUAAACCGAUUGUCAAUCCACCUCAUCUGCCUAUGGCUUGGGAACCUUAUCUCCCUUAGAACCCGGAGCUCAGGGGCAGGGGGCCCAUCAGCUGGGAGCUUAGCCAUGUGGGUUGAGGUCAUCUUAACCCAUCCUGAAUCUAAGGAAAUCUAAGACCUGGGACUGGUAGUGAAGAUCAGAUGC